Pelobates cultripes (western spadefoot toad) is the source of this 214-nucleotide non-coding RNA. Lineage: Eukaryota; Metazoa; Chordata; Amphibia; Anura; Pelobatidae. The record is from the annotation of a GenBank genome assembly.
CUCACAGUACGUAGGACAACUUACAAAUUUAAUGAGCUCUGUAUGAACAUUGUUUCAGGACCUACGCCUAGAUGGGAUCUCUACUUUUUUCUUUUUACUUGCACAGUUAUUUCCCAAAUUUAGAUUUUCACGGUCAAUUAUACUCUCUUAGUUUUCUGCUCUUAUUAUAUCAUGAUUUAGCUCUAGAAAGAUUAACUAUCAAAAAAUAACAGAG